RNAcentral lists this ribosomal RNA (468 nucleotides) under uncultured bacterium. Its description in RNAcentral is "partial 16S ribosomal RNA". It matches the Rfam family "Bacterial small subunit ribosomal RNA", at positions 28 to 507 of the family's 1533-position model. The record is from RNAcentral.
GACGAACGCUGGCGGCGUGCUUAACACAUGCAAGUCGAACGGAAAGGCCCUGCUUUUGUGGGGUGCUCGAGUGGCGAACGGGUGAGUAACACGUGAGUAACCUGCCCUUGACUUUGGGAUAACUUCAGGAAACUGGGGCUAAUACCGGAUAGGAGCUCCUGCUGCAUGGUGGGGGUUGGAAAGUUUCGGCGGUUGGGGAUGGACUCGCGGCUUAUCAGCUUGUUGGUGGGGUAGUGGCUUACCAAGGCUUUGACGGGUAGCCGGCCUGAGAGGGUGACCGGCCACAUUGGGACUGAGAUACGGCCAAGACUCCUACGGGAGGAAGCAGUGGGGAAUAUUGCACAAUGGGCGGAAGCCUGAUGCAGCAACGCCGCGUGCGGGAUGACGGCCUUCGGGUUGUAAACCGCUUUCGCCUGUGACGAAGAGUGAGUGACGGUAAUGGGUAAAGAAGCACCGGCUAACUACGUG